GAAAAUAUUAAGAUCUACUUAGGUAAUUCAAAUGUUAGAAAUAAAAUUAUUGUAGCAUAAAUAAAUUAAAAUGCUUAAGUAGUGGUGAAACGCCUAUCAAUUUUAUUGAUAACUGGAUUGAAAGAAAAUAUAUUAAGUAUAUAUGACAAUUUUAAAACGAUAAGGUUUUAAAAAAAGUGAAUAAGAUAUUUAAAUUUCCGUUAUUAUUUAGUAAAACUAUUUUAUAUAAUAGGCAAAAUAAAAACUAAACUAUAUAUGCACCAUAAGAUAGCCUUUCAUAUGAUAAAGCAAUAUUAGCACUACCAUAAAUAAUGUAUCAAUUAGUAAAUAUUAUAAAUAUUAAUAAGGAACUCGACAAAUAAUUUGUACGACUGUUUACCAAAAACAUAACCAUAAGCAAAUUUUUAUGGUGACGUCCGCCCAGUGAUAAUUUUAACGGCCGCAGUACUUUGACUGUGCAAAGGUAGCAUAAUAACUUGGCUUUUAAUUGGAGUCUGGAAUGAGAGAAAUAACGUAUAAAAGUUGUCUCAAACUAUAUAAUAUAAAAAUUAUUUAAGAAGUGAAAAUACUUCUACAUAUAAUAAAAGACGAGAAGACCCUUAGAAUUUUUACUAACUAAUUAAGUUUUUGAUUUAUCGUUUUAGUUGGGGCAACUCUAUUUCAUGAUAAAUAAAUAGUAUAGUUAAAAAAUUAUACCGAUUUUAAUAAAUUAAAAUAAAUUACCUAAGGGAUAACAGCAUAAUUUUAAUAAAUAAGAUUGUGACCUCGAUGUUGGACUAGGUACUGUUAAAGCUAAACGUUUUACCAUUAAAGUUCUGUUCGAACUUCCUCACCUACUUGAUCUGAGUUCAGACCGGCG
Molecule: ribosomal RNA, 859 nt
Filed under: Agathylla biloba biloba
Lineage: Eukaryota; Metazoa; Mollusca; Gastropoda; Stylommatophora; Clausiliidae
Description: partial 16S large subunit ribosomal RNA
Source: RNAcentral